RNAcentral lists this ribosomal RNA (253 nucleotides) under uncultured bacterium. RNAcentral's name for it is "partial 16S ribosomal RNA". It matches the Rfam family "Bacterial small subunit ribosomal RNA", at positions 524 to 776 of the family's 1533-position model. The record is from RNAcentral.
UACGGAGGGUGCAAGCGUUAUCCGGAUUCACUGGGUUUAAAGGGCGCGUAGGUGGGAAUGUAAGUCAGUGGUGAAAUCUCCGUGCUUAACACAGAAACUGCCAUUGAUACUAUGUUUCUUGAAUUUUCUGGAGGUUAGCGGAAUAUGUCAUGUAGCGGUGAAAUGCUUAGAUAUGACAUAGAACACCAAUUGCGAAGGCAGCUAACUACAGGGAUAUUGACACUGAGGCUCGAAAGCGUGGGGAUCAAACAGG